UACGUAGGGACCAAGCGUUGUUCGGAUUUACUGGGCGUAAAGGGAGCGUAGGCGGCAAUUCAAGUCAGUUGUGAAAUCUUAAGGCUUAACCUUAAACGGUCAACUGAUACUGCUUUGCUAGAGUACAGAAGGGGCAAUCGGAAUUCUUGGUGUAGCGGUGAAAUGCGUAGAUAUCAAGAGGAACACCUGAGGUGAAGACGGGUUGCUGGGCUGAUACUGACGCUGAGGCUCGAAAGCUAGGGGAGCAAACGUG
This 253-nucleotide ribosomal RNA is filed under the name uncultured bacterium. RNAcentral describes it as "partial 16S ribosomal RNA". It matches the Rfam family "Bacterial small subunit ribosomal RNA", at positions 524 to 776 of the family's 1533-position model. The record is from RNAcentral.